AACUGAAACAUCUAAGUACCCGGAGGAAAAGAAAACAAACCAGUGAUUGCGCAAGUAGCGGCGAGCGAACGCGCAUCAGCCCAAACCGCAUACGUGGCAACGCGUAGUGCGGGGUUGUAGGACCGUCGACAAACGAACAGUCAGAGGUUAGCGGAACCGUCUGGAAAGUCGGGCCGCAGCGGGUGAAAGCCCCGUACGCGAAAACCGCUGGCCAUCGGAGGCGGCACCUGAGUAAGCCGGGACACGAGAAAUCCUGGCCGAACCCGCGGGGACCAUCCCGUAAGGCUAAAUACUACCGAGAGACCGAUAGCGAACCAGUACCGUGAGGGAAAGGUGAAAAGAACCUCGAACAGAGGAGUGAAACAGACCCUGAAAUCAUGCGCCUACAAGCGGUCGGAGCCACCGAGUGUGGUGACGGCGUGCCUUUUGCAUAAUGAUCCUACGAGUUGCCGUCGCCGGCGAGGCUAAGUGCCAGAUGAGGCAUGGAGCCGGAGCGAAAGCGAGUCAGAACAUGGCGCGCAGUCGGCGGGGGCAGACGCGAAACCAAGUGAUCUACCCUUGGGCAGGUUGAAGGCGGGGUAACACCCGCUGGAGGACCGCACCGGUAAGCGUUGAAAAGCUUUCGGAUGACCUGAGGGUAGGAGUGAAAGGCCAAUCAAACUUGGAGAUAGCUCGUACUCCCCGAAAUGCAUUUAGGUGCAGCCUCGGGCCGAAUACCGCGGAGGUAGAGCGACUGAUAAGAUGCGAGGGCUUCACCGCCUAUCAAGUCUUGACAAACUCCGAAUGCCGCGGCAUGCUACCCGGGAGUGAGGGCGUGGGUGCUAAGGUCCACGUCCGAAAGAGGAACAACUCAGACCACCGGCCAAGGCCCCCAAAUACGGGCCGAGUUGAAGCCAAUAACGAGGUGGGAUUGCAAGGACAGCUAGGAUGUUGGCUUGGAAGCAGCCAUUCAUUUGAAGAGUGCGUAACAGCUCACUAGUCGAGUGAUCCCGCAUGGAUAAUAAUCGGGCAUAAGUCCGUUGCCGAAGCCGUGGAAUGCAGCGUAAUGCUGCAUUGGUAGGGGAGCAUUCCGGCAGCCGCAGAAGGUUGGGCGUGAGCCCAGCUGGAGGCACCGGAAAAGCAAAUGUAGGAAUAAGUAACGAUAAAGGGGGCGGGAAACCCCCUCGCCGUAAGACCAAGGGUUCCUGAUCAACGCUAAUCGGAUCAGGGUAAGCCGGGGCCUAAGUGGAAGCCGCAAGGCGCACACGAUGGACAAACGGUAAAGAAUCCGUUGCCCCGCAGUCCCAGUGAUGUGGAGACGGAGCAGUGACACACCCGCGUGCUGACGGAAUAGCACGUUGAACCGCGUAGGUAAACCGAGGUGAGGCAAAUCCCACCACGGUGCUGAAACGGGACAGUACGGAGCGCCCCCGGGCAAUCCGACAGCGGUGGUAACCAUACUCCCGAGAAAAUCCGCUAAACGCUAUAAAGGGCUGCGGGCCCGUACCGCAAACCGACACAGGUGGUCGGGUAGAAUAUACCAAGGCGCUCGAGAGAUUCACGGUUAAGGAACUAGGCAAAUUGACCCCGUAACUUCGGGACAAGGGGUCCCCUCCUCCGGGAGGGGCGCAGAGAAUAGGUCCAGGCAACUGUUUAACAAAAACACAGGGCUGUGCGAAGUUGAAAGAUGAAGCAUACAGCCUGACACCUGCCCGGUGCCGGAAGGUUAAGAGGAGGCGUCAUCGCAAGAGAAGCGCUGAAUUGAAGCCCCGGUAAACGGCGGCCGUAACUAUAACGGUCCUAAGGUAGCGAAAUUCCUUGUCGGGUAAGUUCCGACCUGCACGAAUGGUGUAAUGAUCCGGACACUGUCUCAACCGUGAGCUCGGUGAAAUUGUAGUAUCGGUGAAGAUGCCGGGUACCCGCAACGGGACGAAAAGACCCCGUGAACCUUUACUGCAGCUUUGCAUUGUGACCGGGUGCUCGAUGUGUAGGAUAGUCAGGAGGCAGCGAAACAGCCACGCCAGUGGUUGGGGAGCCGACGUUGAAAUACUGACCUUCGCGCAUCUGAGUCUCUAACGCCCUGUAGGGCGGACAUUGCAUGGCAGGUAGUUUGACUGGGGUGGUCGCCUCCAAAAGAGUAACGGAGGCUUCUAAAGGUGCGCUCAGGCCGAUUGGUAACCGGUCGGAGAGUGUAAUGGCACAAGCGCGCUUGACUGGGAGACCAACAAGUCGAUCAGGUAGGAAACUAGAGCAUAGUGAUCCGGUGG
This 2246-nucleotide ribosomal RNA is filed under the name human gut metagenome. RNAcentral describes it as "bacterial LSU rRNA". It matches the Rfam family "Bacterial large subunit ribosomal RNA", at positions 191 to 2426 of the family's 2925-position model. The record is from RNAcentral.